CAGCCGCCGCGGUAAUACGGAGGGUGCAAGCGUUAAUCGGAAUUACUGGGCGUAAAGCGCACGCAGGCGGUCUGUCAAGUCGGAUGUGAAAUCCCCGGGCUCAACCUGGGAACUGCAUUCGAAACUGGCAGGCUAGAGUCUUGUAGAGGGGGGUAGAAUUCCAGGUGUAGCGGUGAAAUGCGUAGAGAUCUGGAGGAAUACCGGUGGCGAAGGCGGCCCCCUGGACAAAGACUGACGCUCAGGUGCGAAAGCGUGGGGAGCAAACAGGAUUAGAUACCCCAGUAGUCCCUGUCUCUUAUAC
Molecule: ribosomal RNA, 301 nt
Filed under: uncultured bacterium
Lineage: Bacteria
Description: partial 16S ribosomal RNA
Rfam family: Bacterial small subunit ribosomal RNA
Source: RNAcentral